CAGUAUAUAGUUUAUUUAAAAUAUUGGCUUUGGAAGCUAAUGAAAUAAUUUCCUUAUUAUACUGA
This 65-nucleotide transfer RNA is filed under the name Anaka burmensis. Its description in RNAcentral is "tRNA-Pro". It matches the Rfam family "tRNA". From Rfam's summary of the family: Transfer RNA (tRNA) molecules are approximately 80 nucleotides in length. Their secondary structure includes four short double-helical elements and three loops (D, anti-codon, and T loops). The record is from RNAcentral. Lineage: Eukaryota; Metazoa; Arthropoda; Insecta; Hemiptera; Cicadellidae.